RNAcentral lists this ribosomal RNA (351 nucleotides) under Triticum aestivum (bread wheat). RNAcentral describes it as "partial small subunit ribosomal RNA". Lineage: Eukaryota; Viridiplantae; Streptophyta; Magnoliopsida; Poales; Poaceae. The record is from RNAcentral.
AUGAUGCAGGCCACCGUUGCCUUGUCGGCCGUGCUGACUGUCGCCGUAAGGGGCAGGCCGGCGGCGAGGAGGAGGAGCGCCACCGUGGCCGCCGGCGGCAGAAGGAUGCCGGGCGGUGCCGUUCGUGCAUCGGCCGCCGCGGCGCCGGAGGCGGACUACAGCUCCAGCGUCUCGGUGUUCCCCAUGGAGGCCUGCGACCUGGUCGGCGGCGAGGCCUGCGACGCGCAGAUGUACCCGGAGGUGGAGAGGGAGUACCUAUCCUACGACGAGCCAAAAACGGUGUUCCCGGACGAGGCGUGCGACGAUCUCGGCGGCGAGUUCUGCGAGGCGCCCUACCAAACCAGCAAGUAA